RNAcentral lists this ribosomal RNA (253 nucleotides) under uncultured bacterium. RNAcentral's name for it is "partial 16S ribosomal RNA". It matches the Rfam family "Bacterial small subunit ribosomal RNA", at positions 524 to 776 of the family's 1533-position model. The record is from RNAcentral.
UACGGAGGGUGCAAGCGUUGCUCGGAAUUACUGGGCGUAAAGCGACCGCAGGCGGCUCGCCAAGUCGUGUGUGAAAUCCCUGGGCUCAACUCAGGAACUGCAUUCGAUACUGGCGAGCUAGAGUUCGGGAGAGGGAGGUGGAAUUCCUGGUGUAGAGGUGAAAUUCGUUGAUAUCAGGAGGAACACCGGCGGCGAAGGCGGCCUCCUGGCCCGAUACUGACGCUCAUGGUCGAAAGCGUGGGGAGCAAACAGG